This 2837-nucleotide long non-coding RNA is filed under the name Aedes aegypti (yellow fever mosquito). RNAcentral describes it as "lncRNA AAEL025096". The record is from RNAcentral. Lineage: Eukaryota; Metazoa; Arthropoda; Insecta; Diptera; Culicidae.
UCUCAACUUAGGGUUCAAUGAGCACUUCCACCAGAGGCGUCGCGUCCACAUGUGCAACAUGUGCACUGCACAGGUGAGAGCUCGUUCAUCCUAGCCACCUACAAUAUGUACUACUUUUAAAGUACAGUUCGAUAAUUUUCUUAAUAAAAUUAAAUUUAUUUAUUUUCAAUUAUCUCUCAUUCAUAGCUUGCAACGAAAUUUUCAUCUAGCAAAAUAUCUGUUGUUAAAUUUUUGCUAUGCAAAAAGCUGUUUUGUGCGACGCACGAUCUGGGACCUAAUUUUUUCUUCGCGCUCAUUGCGAUGCAUGCUACGCAACACUUUGUUCCACGCUACACUUCGUUGCUGUGACGUCGAAAACCAACGCGUGCACUCUCAUCGGGAAACGCGCUGCCUUGUAUCGUACACGCAGUUCUGUCUAUGUGGUAGAAAGCAUUUUGAACUGCAAAUGCAAGUGUGUAAGUAGCCAAAGCGUAAACUCUGGCCGGUGCACAGUCUUGCUACAUCAACCAACUCGAUCAGUGCAAGCGUGCGGAUGAGAGAGAUAAGAGAAAAAUCAAUCUACGGGAGAGAUAUAUUUCGCUUGCUCUUUUUUUACCCUAGCGCCUUCAGCAACACCACGCUUGGGGUAUGAAAGCAGGUCCGGUGCGAUUUUUCCGAUUUUUCAGGCGGCUGUCGGUAGGAAGUUUUUUCAAGCUUAGCACUCAGUCACAUAACAUAUGUGGAACUCGUGCUCAAAAAGUUGUACCCAGAAGGCAAUUGAAGAAUGGUUGAGAGGACAUUGAAAUGUCACAAUCAUUAUACAAGUUUUCUUCAGACAUUUGAAAACAUCCUAAUUGGGAAAAAGGCGCUUGCAGCAAACAAAAGUGUGCCCAACGGCUCCAUUUGUUUUUGCUAGGUAACAAUUUUAAAUGGAAAACAUAUUACGUAACUUUUCCCAUCAAAAUCAAAUGGGUCCAUUGGGCACACAAAUCAAAUUGCGCAUUAGAUAUAUUUUUUUAGUGGAUAAUCUUGGUGUGCUUUGUUUUGUUCCGUCUCCUUUCCCGGAGCGUCCAAUAAUCACUUCAAACAAAAAUCGAUCCUAUUCAAUCGCUCCCGGAAGGUGGAGUGCUCCUGUGCCACUUUUUGUUUAGCACCUCAAUAUAUUAAGUAUGCAUCACGCAUCUCUUUCCAUUCUCCCUUAUUUGUGUAAUGUGUUUAAAAAUACUCUCACGUGCUCACGUUUGUUCUAAUAUUUACUGAAUUGUUUCCAGGCCAACAUCAAAGUUCCAGAAAUUGAUAUUUAUUUUAACAUUUUUACAUGAGUGUCAACACUUCUGUACCAUUUAUUGUUUUGGACAUUUUCGAAUGUAUGACAAAAGCGCUUGUCGCCCCCCGUAAGAUUAUUGCCGCACCAUUGUUGUCGAUGUCGUUUUCGAUUUUCAUCCUUGUCGGCAGGAUAAACAAACCAACGUCAGGGAGAUUUUUGUUCGGUCGAACCUAAAUUGGGUUGGGACUGAAGCUAAUAUUCAGGACGGGUUCCGUUAGCUCCAACUUAGGUUCAAAGACGAAUUCGGCGGUAGAAUAUGAAACUGGUAUAGAACAGCAUUGUCAGCUUAAUCCGAUCAGAGCGAUUACGCGAGUGCGUACAAGUUUUUUUUUUUUGAAAAUGCCGUCAAGGAAGUGCUGUUUUCUCGAUUGCUGCAGCAAUUACAAAACGAGUGGUGUGUCACUUUACGCGUUAGAUAAGCGAACACCAGAGGUGCAAAAGCGUUGGAUCCUCAAUUCAAGUUUGAAUCUGAAUGUCAAACACAUCAGGAAAAAGCCGCAAUACGUGUGCUCAGACCACUUUGAGGCCUCCGACUUUCUGAAUCCCCAUGAUAAAUCCAGAGGGUAAGUUUUGUGUAAAAAUAACAGUUGAUGAGUCUAAGUAAAACGUCUGUCAGCGAAUAUUAUUAAGAGUAUAGCCGGGUAGAAAAUUAAUUUAUUUGCAGCAGACUUUGAACAGAAACUUUUAAUGAGCAUUCCAUUAUUAUUGUGGCACAAAAUUUACUUAACGUUGACUUUACUAACAAUUGAGAAAAUUGAUUCAACGUUACCCCAAAAUCACUCAGUACACGCUAACUCGGAAAUACCCAUUAAUGGGUACUUUCGUACCCAUUUCCAACUAAAGUGGCUUAACUCAUUAAAAGAGUAAAGUCGAUUUACUCAUUAAAGGGUAUUCCCUUUAAACUUAAUAUAAAGGGUAUUUUUCACUCUUGGUGCCAUGCAGGAAAAUGGGUAAUUAAACCCCAUUAUUUUAUGAGCGAUGCUGCAGAUUGAGGUUAACGAUAAAAAUACAUCACAAAAUAUAAAAUUCAGAAAUAAAAGACAUUAUUUGCAACGUAUAGCAUUGAUUUCUUAUAUAUCGUGCAAUUUAUUCGAUCGAUAAUUUUGUUACGCCGACGUCUCGACCGAAGCUCUAGAUGAUCGGCGAAAUCUGCGAUGUCAAUGGUGAAAUUUUUGACUCUGCUGAAAUUUCGAAUGUACAUUACACUGCGAGCUGGAUUCUGUCAGGCAUCGAUCAUGAGCCAUGUCAAAACAAACUGCAGGCGGAUGCAAGAGUGCCUUCUUUCGUAAGCGUAUUGACCACGUUGAAGAAAGAUGCGCGAAGGGAAAGGGCAGGGGCAAAAUUAACAUCCUUUUUAACAUCUGUCGUUCAGUAUUUCAAAGAAAAUUUCUUCACUUUUCUGGAGUCAAGUGCCAACGGUGUCAAAGAUAGAUUGCUGAAGAAUAUUUUGUCAAUGGAUAUGGUACAAGAACUAUUAUGUAAAGAUUGUGCAGAGAAGAUUAUUGGAAAGUAUUUAAAUAUGCUGAUAAAA